RNAcentral lists this long non-coding RNA (339 nucleotides) under Helianthus annuus (common sunflower). RNAcentral's name for it is "sRNA HanXRQr2_Chr16g0732541". The record is from RNAcentral. Lineage: Eukaryota; Viridiplantae; Streptophyta; Magnoliopsida; Asterales; Asteraceae.
UGGGAAUAUCCCUGGGAAUAUCCCUGUUCGGUCAAAAUAUAUCAUAAAACAAAAUGGAAGUGAAUCUGAGUUGCAGCAAACAUCCGCCUCUUCGACAAAACUCAUCUCCAUUUGAACCAAAAGAACCAACGACAAUAUUUGAAAUAGUAGGUUGCUAGAAUCAGAUGCAGAACUUUGGAGCUGAAUACUGCCAUAGAUAUAUUGAUAUAGCAGGAAAGAAGAGUCCAGAGGGAAUGACCAGAAUGUGAAGCGGAUUAGGGAGUAUCGACUGAAUUUUGAAUUGGAGCUUGAUAAUAUUGAGUGGCUUAUUGGAUGGGUGUUUGCACAAGUAUAUUCACC